RNAcentral lists this ribosomal RNA (508 nucleotides) under uncultured bacterium. RNAcentral's name for it is "partial 16S ribosomal RNA". It matches the Rfam family "Bacterial small subunit ribosomal RNA", at positions 28 to 523 of the family's 1533-position model. The record is from RNAcentral.
GAUGAACGCUAGCUACAGGCUUAACACAUGCAAGUCGAGGGGAAACGACAUCGAAAGCUUGCUUUUGAUGGGCGUCGACCGGCGCACGGGUGAGUAACGCGUAUCCAACCUGCCCACCACUUGGGGAUAACCUUGCGAAAGUAAGACUAAUACCCAAUGACGUCUCUAGAAGACAUCUGAAAGAGAUUAAAGAUUUAUCGGUGAUGGAUGGGGAUGCGUCUGAUUGGCUUGUUGGCGGGGUAACGGCCCACCCAGGCGACGAUCAGUAGGGGUUCUGAGAGGAAGGGCCCCCACAUUGAGACUGAGACACGGGCCAAACUCCUACGGGAGGCAGCAGGGAGGAAGAUUGGUCAAUGGGCGAUAGCCUGAACCAGCCAAGUAGCGUGAAGGAUGACGGCCCUAUGGGUUGUAAACUGCUUUUAUAAGGGAAUAAAGUGAGUCUCGUGAGACUUUUUGCAUGUACCUUAUGAAUAAGGACCGGCUAAUUCCGUGCCAGCCGCCGCCGUAA